GAGGGUAUAGCUCAGUGGUAGAGUGUGUGUACUUAUCAUACACAAGGUCCUGGGUUCAAUCCCCAGUACCUCCA
Molecule: transfer RNA, 74 nt
Filed under: Camelus bactrianus (Bactrian camel)
Lineage: Eukaryota; Metazoa; Chordata; Mammalia; Artiodactyla; Camelidae
Also listed under: 2 other names
Rfam family: tRNA
About the family: Transfer RNA (tRNA) molecules are approximately 80 nucleotides in length. Their secondary structure includes four short double-helical elements and three loops (D, anti-codon, and T loops). Further hydrogen bonds mediate the characteristic L-shaped molecular structure. tRNAs have two regions of fundamental functional importance: the anti-codon, which is responsible for specific mRNA codon recognition, and the 3' end, to which the tRNAs corresponding amino acid is attached (by aminoacyl-tRNA synthetases). tRNAs cope with the degeneracy of the genetic code in two manners: having more than one tRNA (with a specific anti-codon) for a particular amino acid; and 'wobble' base-pairing, i.e. permitting non-standard base-pairing at the 3rd anti-codon position.
Source: Rfam by way of RNAcentral